AGUGAACGCUGGCGGUAGGCCUAACACAUGCAAGUCGAACGGCAGCACAGUAAGAGCUUGCUCUUACGGGUGGCGAGUGGCGGACGGGUGAGGAAUACAUCGGAAUCUACUUUUUCGUGGGGGAUAACGUAGGGGAACUUACGCUAAUACCGCAUACGACCUACGGGUGAAAGCAGGGGAUAUUCGGACCUUGCGCGAUUGAAUGAGCCGAUGUCGGAUUAGCUAGUUGGCGGGGUAAAGGCCAACCAAGGCGACGAUCCGUAGCUGGUCUGAGAGGAGGGUCAGCCACAUGGGAACUGAGACAGCGUCCAGACUCCUACGGGAGGCAGCAGUGGGGAAUAUUGGACAAUGGGCGCAAGCCUGAUCCAGCCAUACCGCGUGGGUGAAGAAGGCCUUCGGGUCGUAAAGCCCUUUUGUUGGGAAAGAAAAGCAGCAGGUUAAUACCCCGCUGUUCUGACGGUACCCAAAGAAUAAGCACCGGCUAACUUCGUG
This 492-nucleotide ribosomal RNA is filed under the name uncultured bacterium. RNAcentral's name for it is "partial 16S ribosomal RNA". It matches the Rfam family "Bacterial small subunit ribosomal RNA", at positions 29 to 507 of the family's 1533-position model. The record is from RNAcentral.